Molecule: long non-coding RNA, 1167 nt
Organism: Chinchilla lanigera (long-tailed chinchilla)
Lineage: Eukaryota; Metazoa; Chordata; Mammalia; Rodentia; Chinchillidae
Exons: 6
Source: RefSeq, a predicted model, not a curated record
CUCGCUCCGCCCCGAGGUGUCUGCUCACCUAGUCCCUCCCUAAGGCCGGGGAGACUCUCGAGCCUUGACCCAAGGUCAGGAUGCAAGGUUCGGUGUAGAUUCUGCGACCCAGUGGAAGAGGACUUCACAUGGAGGUCUUUUACUUAAUCUCCUUUCACAUCCUGAGGAAGAGGUAUGGAGAGGUUUGACCCCGGAAAGAGAAAGAACAUUUGUUGGAAAGAGAGAUCAUUUAUCACUGUAGUCUUGCCAGCUUUGAACUCCAAGGAAAUCUACUAAAUGAAGAGUCAAUACUUAAUCCAGAGUUACAUGAAUGACUGCGCAGAAGGCAAAAAGAAACCUGUAGGUUGAAAAACACGAAGAAAAAUAUGUGAAGUACACAGGAACCAGCUUAUGGAGGACCCUGCAAACUGCAAAGAGCGGCAAUAAGCAGAGAUUUCAGAGAAGAGAGGCUAUGCAACAUUGGGGAAAUAUUGGCUUCUCAUCACCCCGGACUGCUCUGUGAAGGGAAUGCUCCUGGAAUAAACACCCGAAGCUACAGUGGCAAUCUUGUCUCAGGGGUUUUCUGUGUUCUUAAGGAUGUUGUAUUGGUCAGCUUUUGUUACUGUAGCAAGAAAUCUGAGACAGCUAACCUAUAAAGAAAGAAAGCUUAUUUUAACUCACAGUUUUGAAGCUCUUGGUCCAUGACCGAGCGCCCCAUUGCCUGUGGGAUUAUGGUAAGGCAACAUAUUACGGUAGGGAGCCCAUGGUAGAGGAAAGCUAUCUUCAUGACAGCUGAGACGCAAAACAUAGAGAGGAAGGACCUGGAGUGUCACUGUCUCCUGUGAGGAUGCUUCUUCUUGAAGCCCUGCCCGGUGAAGUUUCCACCACCUCCAGCAGCAGCACGGAGUGGUGCCCAAGUGUUUAACAUACGACAUUUUGUGCAAACCACAGCUUUUGGAUCCUGAAGAUUAUCCAAAAAUUAUUUUCAAAAACCAACAUUCGAUUUCCAUGUAAAAACAUAGUUUCUUAAGCUUUGAAAUGUAAUUUAAUCAUUUUAUCCUACUUUCAAAUAUAGCAAAUUUUCAAGGUAAAAGUAUGCCAUGUACAGAAACCUAACAACUUUAGUGAAUGUAAAUAUUGUAUGCCAACGAAACUGCAUGGGAAAUACUUCAAAGAAUCAACAACUGG